Molecule: long non-coding RNA, 439 nt
Organism: Chenopodium quinoa (quinoa)
Lineage: Eukaryota; Viridiplantae; Streptophyta; Magnoliopsida; Caryophyllales; Amaranthaceae
Exons: 2
Source: RefSeq, a predicted model, not a curated record
AGAGAAUUCCUUCAAGAAUCCACACAGUAUUCUUCUCCGGCUCAAAUCCUGAAUUUUGAAGCUUUUCCAGCCAAUCAUGCCCUGUGAUGUCAGCUUCCACUCUGGUAAGAUGUAGCUUCAUUGUGGGGAAAUCAUACUACUGCAUUGAAGGACCAAUCUUCCUAUGAUUUGCAUUUAUCAGCUCCCAAACAACGAAGCCUUAAGUGAUGUUUUCUCUGACAGGUUGAUUGUGAUAGGUAUAGUAUUGGAGGAUAUUAACUAUCUGACUCGUCAAACAAUGCUCAUUUGGUUCAAAGAGGGUUAAGUGGUUAUAAAAUGCUAUCAUUUGGUGUGUAAUAUCCUUAUCAUUGGGUCUUUACGUCUUUGUCUUCUAUGAAUUUCGAGAAUAACUUUAUCUGAUUUUUUUGAUAAUUUGAUUGCCAAUGGAGUAAUUGUUUCA